CGAAUCUCGAAAGCCUGUCUCAGUUCGGAUUGGAGGCUGAAACCCGCCUCCAUGAAGUUGGAUUCGCUAGUAAUCGCGCAUCAGCCAUGGCGCGGUGAAUACGUUCCCGGGCCUUGUACACACCGCCCGUCAAGCCAUGGAAGCUGGGGGUGCCUGAAGUUCGUGACCGGAAGGAGCGACCUAGGGCAAAACCGGUGACUGGGGCUAAGUCGUAACAAGGUAUC
This 224-nucleotide ribosomal RNA is filed under the name uncultured bacterium. RNAcentral's name for it is "partial 16S ribosomal RNA". It matches the Rfam family "Bacterial small subunit ribosomal RNA", at positions 1268 to 1500 of the family's 1533-position model. The record is from RNAcentral.